UACGUAGGGCGCAAGCGUUAUCCGGAAUUAUUGGGCGUAAAGAGCUCGUAGGCGGUUUGUCGCGUCUGCCGUGAAAGUCCGGGGCUCAACCCCAGACCUGCAUUCGAUACGGGCGAACUAGAGUGUGGUAGGGGAGACUGGAAUUCCUGGUGUAGCGGUGGAAUGCGCAGAUAUCAGGAGGAACACCAAUGGCGAAGGCAGGUCUCUGGGCCAUUACUGACACUGAGGAGCGAAAGCGUGGGGAGCGAACAGG
This 253-nucleotide ribosomal RNA is filed under the name uncultured bacterium. Its description in RNAcentral is "partial 16S ribosomal RNA". It matches the Rfam family "Bacterial small subunit ribosomal RNA", at positions 524 to 776 of the family's 1533-position model. The record is from RNAcentral.